CGGUAGGGGCAAGCGUUGUCCGGAUUCAUUGGGCGUAAAGAGCGUGUAGGCGGCCAGGUAGGUCCGUUGUGAAAACUCGAGGCUCAACCUCGAGACGUCGAUGGAAACCAUCUGGCUAGAGUCCGGAAGAGGAGAGUGGAAUUCCUGGUGUAGCGGUGAAAUGCGCAGAUAUCAGGAAGAACACCUAUGGCGAAGGCAGCUCUCUGGGACGUACUGACGCUGAGACGCGAAAGCGUGGGAGCGAACAGGAUU
This 252-nucleotide ribosomal RNA is filed under the name uncultured bacterium. RNAcentral describes it as "partial 16S ribosomal RNA". It matches the Rfam family "Bacterial small subunit ribosomal RNA", at positions 526 to 779 of the family's 1533-position model. The record is from RNAcentral.